Molecule: ribosomal RNA, 719 nt
Filed under: uncultured bacterium
Lineage: Bacteria
Description: bacterial SSU rRNA
Rfam family: Bacterial small subunit ribosomal RNA
Source: RNAcentral
GGCGCACGGGUGAGUAACACGUAGGUAAUCUACCUUUGGAUGGGGAAUAACAAUCGGAAACGGUUGCUAAUACCGCAUAAUGCAGCGGCACCUAAUGGUGACAGUUGUUAAAGCGGGGGAUCGAAAGACCUCGCGUCUAAAGAGGAGCCUGCGGCGGAUUAGCUAGUUGGUAAGGUAACGGCUUACCAAGGCGACGAUCCGUAGCCGGCCUGAGAGGGCGGUCGGCCACACUGACACUGACAUACGGGUCAGACUCCUACGGGAGGCAGCAGUCGGGAAUUUUGGGCAAUGGGCGAAAGCCUGACCCAGCAACGCCGCGUGAAGGAUGAAAUCCCUCGGGAUGUAAACUUCGCAAGAACGGGAAGAAUAAGUAGGGGACAAUACCCCCUAUGAUGACGGUACCGUUUGUAAGCUCCGGCUAACUCCGUGCCAGCAGCCGCGGUAAUACGGGGGGAGCAAGCGUUGUUCGGAUUUACUGGGCGUAAAGGGCGCGUAGGCGGCCAGCACAAGUCAGUUGUGAAAUCUCCGAGCUUAACUCGGAAAGGUCAACUGAUACUGUGCGGCUAGAGUGCGGAACGGGGCAGACUGGAAUUCUUGGUGUAAGCGGUGAAAUGCGUAGAUCUCACGAGGAACACCUGCGGGCGAAGGCGGGUUGCUGGGCCGACACUUGACGCUGAAGGCGCGAAAAGCCAGGGGGAGCGAACCGGGGAAUUCGGAUA